RNAcentral lists this ribosomal RNA (1515 nucleotides) under metagenome. RNAcentral's name for it is "bacterial SSU rRNA". It matches the Rfam family "Bacterial small subunit ribosomal RNA". The record is from RNAcentral.
AGAGUUUUAUCCUGGCUCAGGACGAACGCUGGCGGCGUGCUUAACACAUGCAAGUCUAGGCAGAACGUGCUUUCGGGCAUUAGUAAACUGGCGAACGGGUGAGUAACGUGUAGGUAAUUUGCCUUCGAGAGGGGUAUAGCCACUGGAAACGGUGAUUAAUACCGCAUAAAGUCACAUUACACAAGUAUUGUGAUGAAAGGUGGGGAUCUUCGGACCCAUCGCUUGAAGAUAAGCCUGCAUCUGAUUAGCUAGUUGGUGAGGUAACUGCUCACCAAGGCAACGAUCAGUAGCUGUUCUAAGAGGAAGAUCAGCCACAUUGGGACUGAGAUACGGCCCAGACUCCUACGGGAGGCAGCAGUGAGGAAUUUUGCGCAAUGGGGGCAACCCUGACGCAGCAACGCCGCGUGACCGAUUGAAGCUUUUAGGAGUGUAAAGGUCUGUCGUGAAGGAAGAAAUAGUCUGAGAAUAAUAAGUUUGGACUUUGACGGUACUUCACAAGCAAGCUCCGGCUAACUUCGUGCCAGCAGCCGCGGUAAUACGAGGGGAGCAAGCGUUGUCCGAAAUAACUGGGCGUAAAGGGUACGUAGGCCUUUUUGCAAGUUUUCAGUGAAAAUCAUAGGCUCAACUUAUGAACUGCUGGAAAAACUGCAAGGAUUGAAUUCGGAAGGGGAAAGCGGAAUUCCUGGUGUAGCGGUGAAAUGCGUAGAUAUCAGGAGGAACACCAGUGGCGAAGGCGGCUUUCUGGUCCGAAAUUGACGCUGAGGUACUAAAGCGUGGGUAGUAAACAGGAUUAGAUACCCUGGUAGUCCACGCCCUAAACGAUGGAUACUUGGUGUCGGGAUGUUCGAUCGUCUCGGUGCCGUAGCUAACGUGUUAAGUAUCCCGCCUGGGGACUACGGUCGCAAGACUGAAACUCAAAGGAAUUGACGGGGGCCCGCACCAGCGGUGGAACAUGUGGUUUAAUUCGAUGCAACGCGAAGAACCUUACCUGGGCUUGACAUAUGUAUGAAGUAUGUAAGAAAUUAUGUAUUGUUGCUGCUUGCAGUAAACAUAUAUACAGGUGAUGCAUGGCUGUCGUCAGCUCGUGUCGUGAGGUGUAGGGUUAAGUCCCUUAACGAGCGCAACCCUUACUUUUAGUUGCCAUCAGGUAAUGCUGGGGACUCUAGAAGGACUGCCGAGGUUAACUCGGAGGAAGGUGGGGAUGACGUCAAGUCAGUAUGUCCCUUAUGCCCAGGGCUACACACGUGUUACAAUGGCCGGUACAGAGUGCAGCGAAGCCGCGAGGUAGUGCAAAUCACUUAAAGCCGGUCCCAGUUCGGAUUGGAGUCUGCAAUCCGACUCCAUGAAGUUGGAAUCGCCAGUAAUCGCAGAACAGCAUGCUGCGGUGAAUACGUUCCCGGGCCUUGUACACACCGCCCGUCACGCCAUGGAAGUUGGGGGUACCCGAAGUUGCUGUCUAUACGGUGGAGGUAACUAAGGUAAAACCGAUGACUGGGGCGAAGUCGUAACAAGGUA